GUGACGAAGCGACGCCGCGUGUGGGAAGAAGGCCUUCGGGUUGUAAACCACUGUCGGGAGUUAAGAAAUGCAAGGGUAUAAAUAGUAUCCUUGCUUGACUAAGGCUCCGGAGGAAGCCACGGCUAACUCUGUGCCAGCAGCCGCGGUAAUACAGAGGCGGCAAGCGUUGUUCGGAAUUAUUGGGCGUAAAGAGCACGUAGGCGGCUGUGUAAGUCGGUUGUGAAAGCCUUCCGCUUAACGGAAGAACAGCAGACGAUACUGCAUGGCUUGAGUGCGGGAGGGGAGAGUGGAACUUUUGGUGGAGCGGUGAAAUGCGUAGAUAUCAGAAGGAACGCCGGCGGCGAAAGCGACUCUCUAGACCGUGACUGACGCUGAGUGUGCGAAAGCUAGGGGAGCAAACGGGAUUAGAUACCCCGGUAGUCCUAGCCGUAAACGAU
Molecule: ribosomal RNA, 437 nt
Filed under: uncultured anaerobic ammonium-oxidizing bacterium
Lineage: Bacteria
Description: bacterial SSU rRNA
Rfam family: Bacterial small subunit ribosomal RNA
Source: RNAcentral